GGAGGUUGCAGAUUUGGAGACGGUACUCAAGACACUUGAAUCUGCUUUGUCUCAAAUUAAAUGGCGCCUCAAACUUUCAUCAAAGCGUCGCCUUGAAACAGACAUUUUGGCCUUGUGCACUGAGAUGAGGCCAGUUGUAAUGGUGGACUAUGGAGGGAAGAUGCCUGAACUGCAAGAAAGGCUUUGUGCAUUCCUUAAGCAUUGCAAAGAGGAUUGCUCAAUAUUUAAGCCUUUGCAUGUCAUGGUUAUAGAAGAUAUGAUAUACUUGGUUCACGCAAGAGCAUUUGCGGAGUUUGUUAAGUCUAGUUUGAACUUGGAGACGCGACUGAUUUUUGUAGACCUUGAACAUGAUCCUCCAAAGAUGAUAACACAAGCAGAAGAAAGCUGCUUGGCUGCGGAACUUGUAUUGGCACAAAAGACAUUUUCGUCCAUCUUUUCUGAAAAUGGAAUAAAGAUGGAUCACUUGGAACAUCAGAAACCAGAAGUUAAAGCAAACACCGACUCAUCUUUAUAUAAGCCAACUUCUUCACUGUCUUCGGAUGUAAUUGAUCUCAGUGAUUGCAUUAAAGAUAGUCAUGUUACAGCCCCAACUCUAAAUGGAUGGUUGCUUGGUUAUCCUAUAGUUUACCUUUUUGGGAUGGCUCAUAUUGAAAAUGCCAUAUAUAACCUCUCUACCAAGUCUCUGAAUCUUUUCCAAGUCCUUGUUUGCAGGAGUGCCAGAUGCAAUAAAGGAUCUCAGGCUCAAAAAGAGGAACUAAUGAGUUUCUCUGUGCCAUAUGACUUGAGCUUGGAGGGAAUGGAUGAACCAUGGGUAGAGACAUUUUUGACUCGCAUAAAGGCAAAGCAAGAAAGAUGCAACCAAAUUUGGACAUCCCUACAGAUGGAGGUUAACUCUUGUUAUCCACAAGCAAUCGCGUUAUAGUAAGUUGCUGCAUUGUGCUUAGCCUCUAGGUAUUUGAUUUGAACAGUAUUGCAUAAUGUUUUUAUCAGCCAUUUUCCAUCAAACAUGGUAUCAGA
RNAcentral lists this unclassified non-coding RNA (1017 nucleotides) under Hevea brasiliensis (rubber tree). Lineage: Eukaryota; Viridiplantae; Streptophyta; Magnoliopsida; Malpighiales; Euphorbiaceae. The record is from RNAcentral.